RNAcentral lists this ribosomal RNA (219 nucleotides) under uncultured bacterium. RNAcentral describes it as "partial 16S ribosomal RNA". It matches the Rfam family "Bacterial small subunit ribosomal RNA", at positions 524 to 742 of the family's 1533-position model. The record is from RNAcentral.
UACGUAGGUGGCAAGCGUUAUCCGGAAUUAUUGGGCGUAAAGCGCGCGCAGGCGGUUCUUAAGUCUGAUGUGAAAGCCCACGGCUCAACCGUGGAGGGUCAUUGGAAACUGGGGAACUUGGGUGCAGAAGAGAAAAGCGGAAUUCCACGUGUAAGCGGUGAAAUGCGUAGAGAAUGUGGAGGAACACCAGUGGCGAAGGCGGCUUUUGGUCUGUAACGU